Molecule: ribosomal RNA, 402 nt
Filed under: uncultured bacterium
Lineage: Bacteria
Description: bacterial SSU rRNA
Rfam family: Bacterial small subunit ribosomal RNA
Source: RNAcentral
AAUCAACGCUGGCGGCGUGCCUAACACAUGCAAGUCGAACGCGAAAGCCCGCAAGGGUAAGUAGAGUGGCGCACGGGUGAGUAACACGUGGACAACCUGCCUUCGAGUGGGGAAUAACCUUCCGAAAGGAGGGCUAAUACCGCAUAACACCUCGGGACACAAGUUUUUGGGGUGAAAAGAGCAAUUUGCUCGAAGAGGGGUCCGCGCCUGAUUAGCUAGUUGGUGAGGUAACGGCUCACCAAGGCUUCGAUCAGUAGCCGUCCCUGAGAGGGAGCACGGCCACACUGGAACUGAGACACGGUCCAGACUCCUACGGGAGGCAGCAGUGGGGAAUUUUUGGCAAUGGGCGAAAGCCUGACCAAGCAACGCCGCGUGGGUGAUGAAGUAUCCUGGUACGUAAAA